RNAcentral lists this transfer RNA (68 nucleotides) under Rhinostomus barbirostris (bearded weevil). Its description in RNAcentral is "tRNA-Gln". The record is from RNAcentral. Lineage: Eukaryota; Metazoa; Arthropoda; Insecta; Coleoptera; Curculionidae.
UACGUUUUAGUAUAUUAUGUAUGAGAGUUUUUGAUACUUUAGGUAAUAGAGUGUUCUAUUAAACGUAU